GAGGAAAGCGGGCGGCGUGCCUAAUACAUGCAAGUCGAGCGAACGGACGAGAAGCUUGCUUUUCUGAUGUUAGCGGCGGACGGGUGAGUAACACGUGGAUAACCUACCUAUAAGACUGGGAUAACUUCGGGAAACCGGAGCUAAUACCGGAUAAUAUUUUGAACCGCAUGGUUCAAAAGUGAAAGACGGUCUUGCUGUCACUUAUAGAUGGAUCCGCGCUGCAUUAGCUAGUUGGUAAGGUAACGGCUUACCAAGGCAACGAUGCAUAGCCGACCUGAGAGGGUGAUCGGCCACACUGGAACUGAGACACGGUCCAGACUCCUACGGGAGGCAGCAGUAGGGAAUCGUCCGCAAUGGUGUAAAGCCUGACUGAGCAACGCCGCGUGAGUGAUGAAGGUCUUCGGAUCGUAAAACUCUGUUAUUAGGGAAGAACAUAUGUGUAAGUAACUGUGCACAUCUUGACGGUACCUAAUCAGAAAGCCACGGCUAACUACGUG
RNAcentral lists this ribosomal RNA (497 nucleotides) under uncultured bacterium. RNAcentral's name for it is "partial 16S ribosomal RNA". It matches the Rfam family "Bacterial small subunit ribosomal RNA", at positions 28 to 507 of the family's 1533-position model. The record is from RNAcentral.